UUGUAUAUUGAAUGCUAUUUGGUAAUUUGUGCAGGACUGAGCAUAUUUGAUAUGCAUAUGAAUUCUUCUUUUCUGACCAAUUCGCUUUUGGACUCUGUGCAGGAGGGAGAUAGAGAAGAUUGCUGCUGCUGAAUCAGAUUUACUUCAAGGUCAGGAACUGAAGUUUUACCUACUGUUAGAUGAUGAAAUUGGAGUAACUUGGAGAAAGCAAGUAAUCAUGAGGACAUAUUUCAAGUUAAAUGAUUUUUCCUCAAGAAAGAUAACAUGAACAUAAUUUCAAGGAGAAGUAGAAGGAGAUUAAUGGUGAGUGAUUUUGAGAGAAGAUGCUGCCAGGGCACCAUAGCGCCUGAGUGUCAGGAGCAGCAGGCACUCUGAGCUGGGAACUAAGGAGCUUCCAGCCCAUCCAAGGCCUGUUCAAUCACCCCCAGGAAUGAUUUCUUAUAGGAAGUUUAUUCCUGCCCUAAGGGUAGUAGGAGUGGAGCCCAAAAUUCUCAAAGAACAUUGACUUUGUCAGUAGCUAAAAUGCCACCAACAGAAAGAAAACCUCUCUAGAAGAAUAAUCUCUUGCCUUUAACAGGGAAAGUUAUGCUGGAAAUUUGGCUUCAAGCAUAGAGUGAACAGGGGGCAGCAGGAAAAAAAUGAAACUGAGCAACAUAACAGAAAACUUUCCUGAUAUCUGUGGAAUAUAACAGAAGUCCCAACUAUCAAGCAAGUGUGGAUAAUUAUUGAUUCACUAUGAUUUAUUUCAGUAUUCCCUGAAAAAAAUAAGAAUUCUCACUGACUUCAAGAGAUAGCAAACUGAGCGCAGGGAAAGAUAAAAUAAAAACCUGGUCAUUUAGUCAAUGGAAUUUGGAGAGUGAAAGUUUCAUUUAUUUUCUUAUAAAAAACACCAGCUAUAACAUACAUGUUAUGCCUACCUUUUUUCCAGCUUGAGACAAAUUAUUAUGGAAUGUGUGAUUCCUGAGGUGUGGGAAAUGGUGCUAUACCAGAAGCAGAAGAGGCAAAAAUUGGAGUUCACAGUUCUGGGAAAGGUUCUGCUUUUUAAGCACUGACCUCAAGAGAAGGUCUGCAGGAUGAAAAGGUUAUUAUCUUGUCCCUACACUGGAUCUCCUGAAGAAAAGGCAUAAAUGUUUUUCUUCUUCAGAGCUGGAAUUCCGUUUCAACAUGUCAACAUGCAUUUUGGUGCCACUGUCAUAUGGAGAAAAAAUUAUAAUGAUUUACUGCACAGAUAAACAUCAGAAGACAUGCUCUGAAGCCUGCCAGUAAACCACACUCCUCUGUAUGUGCGUCCCUCUCUCCUUUAAGCAGGACUAGAAGAGUCAACACCCCCUUGAGAAGAAUGUUUCUUUUUGUCCUUGCCUGGAAGGAUUUCCGUGGUCCCAUCCUUUAGGAAAUCCUCAUUUACCUCUAUCAUACCACUAAGUAUUUGGUAACAUUACACUUGCCUACAAAGCUUGUAGCAACAUCACAUGCUUCAGCUUGUUGCGAACAGCAUCUGCCUUAUGAGGUAAACCAGCUUCUGAACUGCUCUUCCCACAAUGUCUAGACCUAAAGUUCAUUCAGCACUCCAUAAGAAAAGUGAGAAAAAUAACUGUAUAUCCUCUAUUUUAUGCAGGCAGGCAAAAGCAACCAUCUAACAAUGCUGUUUUAAAUAUUCUUCAUUCCUGAACAUCAGCCUACAGCAUCUAAUAGCUUAUGUUAGAUGAUACUGUGGAAUGGAUCCUCAUGAGUGAACCAUUGGGAACAGCAGCUUGUGAAUAAGACAACCCUUUCCAGCACUACACCAAAUUUGGUGAUGUAUUGUGGCAUGUAGAGGCUACUGCUGCUUCUCACUGUGCCUCAUGACAGUAUAUUCUGCCCCAACAAAGAUGUGUGUAGAAUGUGCCAGCAUAUUUGCACUUUGAUACAAAGUAAAGCAAGACAAAACAUGAAUGCCAUGGGGAAGCUGGACAAGAGACACUCUGACUGAGGUCUGAACUUAAUAUUGUGGCUAACUCAGUAUCGUGUGCUUACUGCUUGAUUCAGUCCUACAUUUCUUGGGCCACUAGGCUGACCUCCAAGAAACGUUAAGACAAUUUUUUCCAAAGGCUGAAGUUAGCUUAUUGUUACAGAAAAAUUAGCUGUGGAUUAUGGUCUUGCCAAAUUAGAUUUAGCUUCAGUGAAUAUGAUGUAAAAUCUGUAUAGUAUAGCCACACCAGUGAAUAAAAAGGCUCCUUCAACCUAGUCAUAUAUAAAUAUCUGUAAUAUAAA
Long non-coding RNA from Neopsephotus bourkii (Bourke's parrot), 2250 nucleotides. RefSeq lists it as uncharacterized. The transcript has 4 exons. The record is from RefSeq and is a predicted model, not a curated record. NCBI's taxonomy places the organism in Eukaryota, Metazoa, Chordata, Aves, Psittaciformes, Psittacidae.